UGUUUGGCAAUGGUAGAACUCACACUGGUGAGGUAGAUGGAUCCGGUGGUUCUAGACUUGCCAACUA
This is a microRNA precursor of Acanthochromis polyacanthus (spiny chromis), 67 nucleotides long. NCBI's taxonomy places the organism in Eukaryota, Metazoa, Chordata, Actinopteri, Pomacentridae. The record is from Ensembl.